UACGUAGGGGGCUAGCGUUGUCCGGAAUCAUUGGGCGUAAAGAGCGUGUAGGCGGUCAGGUAGGUCCGUUGUGAAAACUCGAGGCUCAACCUCGAGACGCCGAUGGAAACCAUCUGACUAGAGUCCGGAAGAGGAGAGUGGAAUUCCUGGUGUAGCGGUGAAAUGCGCAGAUAUCAGGAAGAACACCCGUGGCUAAGGCGGCUCUCUAGUACGGUACUGACGCUGAGACGCGAAAGCGUGGGGAGCGAACAGG
Molecule: ribosomal RNA, 253 nt
Filed under: uncultured bacterium
Lineage: Bacteria
Description: partial 16S ribosomal RNA
Rfam family: Bacterial small subunit ribosomal RNA
Source: RNAcentral